RNAcentral lists this long non-coding RNA (1308 nucleotides) under Citrus sinensis (sweet orange). RNAcentral's name for it is "long non-coding RNA (CSIN_LNC001803)". The record is from RNAcentral. Lineage: Eukaryota; Viridiplantae; Streptophyta; Magnoliopsida; Sapindales; Rutaceae.
AAAAUAAAGUCUGGAUUUAUGACUCAUUACUCACAUGCCGCGACGACAAAAGAUACAGGUUGAAAUUCAAGCCACUUGAAGUUAUCUUCCCUCGAUGGUUGGAAUAUGUUGGGUUCUACAACAUCCGACCUGAGUUGCGGAGUGCCGACCCCUGGAAAGUUAUCGCAAUUAGGAGCGCGCCACAACAGGAGCCCGGAACUGGCGAUUGCGGUGUUUUUGUAUUGAUGGUUACGAUGUAUUUAAUGCUCGGGCUUGGAUUGGAGUUUAACCCUAGUCAUGUCGAGUACUUUAGAAAGAAGAUUGUGGUUGACAUAUUGACGAGCAAUUUUUCGAAACAUGGGAGCGAUUCAAUGGGCUACUCUUGAAGUGUCCACAUCAUGGGUACGAGAAAUGGCACCAAUGUCAAUACUUUUUGGAGGGAUUACUGCCGAAUGUGCAAGAAUGACUAAUGGCAACAAGUGGAGGAGAGCUAAUGUCAAAAAGUGCAUCAGAGAUUUGAGAAUUCUUCCAGCGACAAGCGGAUAAUUCCCAACAACGGAGUCGAUCACUCAGGAAUACUAGAAGAAUUAAAGGAGUGAAUGAGGUUCAAAUUGGCGAAUCAACUUCGGGAAUUAAAGAAGUCAAAGAGAUGGUUGAAGGUCUUGCUCGACAAAUAGCAUCGUUAUCGACUGCUAAAUCAACAGAACCACAUGACCAUGACUUAUACUCAGAUCAAGUCAAUGCCAUAGGUGUAAUGAGAAAGCCAUUAAAUUACAACCCAUACUUCAACACAUAUAACCCUGGAUGGAGAGACCACCCCAAUUUUUCAUGGUCUUACCAUUAGUCUAUACUACAAUAGAUUCGUGCGCUUGCGAGUAUAUUAAAAUUUGCACAACAAUGGUAUGUAUUUUAUUGCAUUUUAUAUACAAGUUGUCGAUUUUUCUUAGUUGUUUUUCAAUUUCAUAUAUAACGAACAUGUUUUUGAAUUUUUAUAUGCAGUUACUCAUCCCUGUUAACUUGGACGGCGAGCAUUGGGUACUGGCACGAAUGGACUUUCAGAAAAAUAAAGUCUGGAUUUAUGACUCAUUACUCACAUGCCGCGACGACAAAAGAUACAGGUUGAAAUUCAAGCCACUUGAAGUUAUCUUCCCUCGAUGGUUGGAAUAUAUUGGAUUCUACAACAUCCGACCUGAGUUGCGGAGUGCCGACCCCUGGAAAGUUAUCGCAAUUAGGAGCGCGCCACAACAGGAGCCCGGAACUGGCGAUUGCGGUGUUUUUGUAUUGAUGGUUACGAUGUAUUUAAUGCUCGGGCUUGGAUUGGAGUUUAAC